RNAcentral lists this ribosomal RNA (605 nucleotides) under uncultured bacterium. RNAcentral describes it as "bacterial SSU rRNA". It matches the Rfam family "Bacterial small subunit ribosomal RNA", at positions 193 to 818 of the family's 1533-position model. The record is from RNAcentral.
CCGCAUGAUCAAAGGAGCAAUCCGCUGAAAGAUGGGCUCGCGUCCGAUUAGAUAGUUGGUGAGGUAACGGCUCACCAAGUCGACGAUCGGUAGCCGGACUGAGAGGUUGAACGGCCACAUUGGGACUGAGACACGGCCCAGACUCCUACGGGAGGCAGCAGUGGGGAAUAUUGCACAAUGGGCGAAAGCCUGAUGCAGCAACGCCGCGGGAGGGAAGACGGUUUUCGGAUUGUAAACCUCUGUUUUCGGUGACGAACAAUGACGGUAACCGAGUAGGAAGCCACGGCUAACUACGUGCCAGCAGCCGCGGUAAUACGUAGGUGGCAAGCGUUAUCCGGAAUUACUGGGUGUAAAGGGAGCGCAGGCGGGAUAGCAAGUCAGCUGUGAAAACUAUGGGCUCAACCCAUAAACUGCAGUUGAAACUGUUAUUCUUGAGUGGAGUAGAGGCAAGCGGAAUUCCGAGUGUAGCGGUGAAAUGCGUAGAUAUUCGGAGGAACACCAGUGGCGAAGGCGGCUUGCUGGGCUCUAACUGACGUGAGGCUCGAAAGUGUGGGGACAAACAGGAUUAGAUACCCUGUAGUCCACACUGUACACGAUGAUUGCUA